CCGAGUGAGGGCCCCCGGGCUCGACCUCCCACCCCUUGACAAACGUCCGGUUUGCCUCGGGGGUGACCCGGACCUCUUGACGUCCGGGUGACCCCCGGAGGGAUAACCCACUCUGCAUUUUGGCGUCGGAGUUACACGGUAAAUGGAAUGA
Molecule: unclassified non-coding RNA, 151 nt
Filed under: uncultured Capnodiales
Lineage: Eukaryota; Fungi; Ascomycota; Dothideomycetes; Capnodiales
Description: sequence contains ITS1
Source: RNAcentral